GUUAAACGCAAAGGUUUGCGUUAUAACGCAAACCUUUUGCGAUAUAACGCAAACCUUUUGCGUUAUAACGC
This 71-nucleotide small RNA is filed under the name Mytilus galloprovincialis (Mediterranean mussel). The record is from RNAcentral. Lineage: Eukaryota; Metazoa; Mollusca; Bivalvia; Mytilida; Mytilidae.